UGUCAAGUGGACACACAAAACCAGCCAGUACAACCCUCUUAGUUAUUCCUGGCACAUUUGCUUUUCGGCCAUCUUCUCUGCCAGGACAAGUGAGGUCACCAGGACAGCUCAGGCACCUGUGCCAGCUAGCAGCAUUAGUACUCAAGAAGCAGAAACUGUCCCCAGAGAAGACUUUACAGCCACAGAAGAAGUGAGACAAGAUGAGGCCUUCUGGGGUCACCCCCAGGAGAAUAUGGGGGCAUGACCUGGUGGUCCCAUCUGCAACCUGUUCUAGGAGGUCCCGGAGAUAAUCUCUCAUAGCAACUAGCAGUGACCUCAAAGUCUUUGUUUGAUCAUGUUCCCUGCUGGACCCUGAAGCCCAGAGAAGUGUCCCUGCCACCAGGAAUCCCUGAAGAAAACUAAGACUUAGAUGACUCUAACCAGGAAUGGGAUUUAAAUGAGUCUCAGCACUAGUGGUUUAAUAAUAUACAAUGUAGGUCACGUUGCUUGAAGAGGAGCCUUGAAUCUGCCCCUGAACUACUUGUGUGUUCCCCGUGGUCAUGAGCUAAGCCACUGGCUUCAACAAGCUUUCUCUGCCAUGAAGUGUUCCCUCACCACAGGCCCCACGGCAACACACAACGGCCCAAGACUUCUAAAGCCGCCAAUCAAAAUAAACUUUCGCUGACUCACAGAGAGCCGUGGUGAAUCCUACGACACAGAGAUUCACAGAGAGCGGUUACUGAAGCCUACAGGCAGCGUCUCAGGAGUCAUUCAUUCACUCUCUCUUGCAGUACGCCUAUCCGAUUCUUGCCCCAGGAAAACUGUCCUUUCUCUCCUGCAGCAGGGCAUCCAGAUGGCUACUCGGAUACCUCAGAUUAUGAAAAAGUCUACUCUGGCUUGAGCUUGAUUCUCCCAAAUUCAGAUAUCGCAAACUUAAUCUACAACUCCACCAAUUUGGGAUGUGGGGACUUAGCGGGCAGUAUUUAGGUCAUGGUGGAUUAAUGUGAUAAAAGGCUCUCCAACUCUCGCCUGUCAUGCUUAACGCACGUUCGUGUAGAACCUGGCGCUAAACCAUUCGUAGACGACCUGCUUCUGGGUUGGGGUUUCGUACAUAGCAGAGCAGCUCCCUUGCUGCGAUCUAUUGAAAGUCAGCCCUCGACACAAGGG
Molecule: small RNA, 1146 nt
Filed under: Rattus norvegicus (Norway rat)
Lineage: Eukaryota; Metazoa; Chordata; Mammalia; Rodentia; Muridae
Description: uncharacterized LOC102547400
Source: RNAcentral